UAGUGGCGAACGGGUGAGUAACACGUGGGCAAUCUGCCCUUCACUCUGGGACAAGCCCUGGAAACGGGGUCUAAUACCGGAUAACACUGCGGAUCUCAUGGUCUGCGGUUAAAAGCUCCGGCGGUGAAGGAUGAGCCCGCGGCCUAUCAGCUUGUUGGUGAGGUAAUGGCUCACCAAGGCGACGACGGGUAGCCGGCCUGAGAGGGCGACCGGCCACACUGGGACUGAGACACGGCCCAGACUCCUACGGGAGGCAGCAGUGGGGAAUAUUGCACAAUGGGCGAAAGCCUGAUGCAGCGACGCCGCGUGAGGGAUGACGGCCUUCGGGUUGUAAACCUCUUUCAGCAGGGAAGAAGCGAAAGUGACGGUACCUGCAGAAGAAGCGCCGGCUAACUACGUGCCAGCAGCCGCGGUAAUACGUAGGGCGCAAGCGUUGUCCGGAAUUAUUGGGCGUAAAGAGCUCGUAGGCGGCUUGUCACGUCGAUUGUGAAAGCUCGGGGCUUAACUCCGAGUCUGCAGUCGAUACGGGCUAGCUAGAGUGUGGUAGGGGAGAUCGGNAAUUCCU
Molecule: ribosomal RNA, 565 nt
Filed under: Streptomyces sp. 337E06
Lineage: Bacteria; Bacillati; Actinomycetota; Actinomycetes; Kitasatosporales; Streptomycetaceae
Description: bacterial SSU rRNA
Rfam family: Bacterial small subunit ribosomal RNA
Source: RNAcentral